CGUAGGGUGCAAGCGUUAAUCGGAAUUACUGGGCGUAAAGCGUGCGCAGGCGGUUUGUAAGUUUGUCGUGAAAUCCCCGGGCUUAACCUGGGAAUUGCGAUGAAGACUGCAAGGCUAGAAUCUGGCAGAGGGGGUAGAAUUCCACGUGUAGCAGUGAAAUGCGUAGAGAUGUGGAGGAACACCGAUGGCGAAGGCAGCCCCCUGGGUCAAGAUUGACGCUCAUGCACGAAAGCGUGGGAGCAAACAGGAUU
Molecule: ribosomal RNA, 251 nt
Filed under: uncultured bacterium
Lineage: Bacteria
Description: partial 16S ribosomal RNA
Rfam family: Bacterial small subunit ribosomal RNA
Source: RNAcentral